CUCACGAUUAGUAAAAAAAUUCUUUGGAUCCAAGAUCUAAUGCACACAAUGGGGAGAUUAAAAAAAAAUCAUCCAUCCAUUUUCCAUAACGCUUCUCCUACUCACGGAUGCAGGGGAGCCUGGGGCCUAAGCCCCCAACCCCGGAGGUAUGAGGCAACCAUUCUAACCCCUAAUCCACCAUGCCCCCCAUGUCUCUCGGCAAUGAUUAUGAUUAUGUUAAUGAUUAUUUUAUUGCAUGUUAUACUUUUAUCCAUUCAUAGUUACAUUUAGUGUUGUGGCAUGUCUGUGAAAGCUAGUUCCUGUUCCAGAGGCUAAAACAUAGCAUGUGUCAACAAGUAUCGCUUUAUGUGGCCACCCAACACUAGCUCUUGGCUGCUCCAGUCAAAAUGUUGUGGACAAUUUCUUGUGAAAAGGGCCCAUUGGCACAGCUCCGUGGCAUUUCAUUUGACACUGAUGUUUUUGGGGUGAUGACAUAAAAGCUGGGCAAGAGAACCAAAUCAAUAAUACUUGACUAAUAUACAAAUAUACCAAAGUACUACUUAUAUAUAGUAAUGAAUUAUUCAAGUGUUUUCCUUCCAUGAUGUACAACUGUAGUGAUCAAACUUGACAUUAAAUAUGGACAUAAACGUGUAUUUAGCAGCUAAAUCCACAACUGACCCAAAAUAGACGGUAUCUUUUUUACGGGCUAGUCUACUAAUGAACAGCCAUUUCCGGUCAGUUAAUGCUCAGUAGGCUUUUUUUUUAAAUGAAUGCGGCAAAACCACUGCAGUGACAGUUUUCACACGUACACCAGACAAAUUCCUCUGAAUACAGUAUAUCUUAUUCUUUAAAACUGUUUUAUUACACUGAUCUUCUAAAUUCACCCGUUAACUGAUGUCAGACUUAGAAAGUGGUUCAACAAGGACUCUGGAUAGUGUGAACAUCAACAGAGAGGAUCACAACCAAUCAGAGCAGAGUGUGUGUGAAGUUCUGGGUAAAGGUAUCCAGUAAUGUGAGGUCGUCUCCCCAGGCACACUAAAGGGCUGCUAGAUUUACGCUCGCUUAAUUAUGAAUGAGUGAGGCAUGAGAGAAGCGAAGCAGAUCUCGUUAAAUCUGUCCUCUCGGCCUGCUACAGUGACUAAACUCACGCACUUUAUACGAUACAUUUUCCCUGAGAAGAGCGGGAAAGUGGGCGUGGCUUUGACCUCCGACGUUUAUGUAGCUCUGCUCAUACGAGUGAGUCUAGAAUGUCGUGCACAAAAGCAAAACGCGCGUUCAUACAAGCCGGUGAAUCAGAUUACGUCUGAAAAUCUCACUCUGCAUGUGUGUGUGUGUGUGUGUGUGUGUGUGUGUGGGAGGUCCUUAAUAUCAAGAAGCACCUAAAGUCUGCAUCGACAGAUCCAUUUCAGUUUAACGCACUGCAGAUGUGUGGGUGUGGGGUUGUGCUUUUUUGGCUGUUCUUUUAUCAACAAACUCCAGAGUCCACCAGUUUCCCAGGAAUCUCGAGAAUUUAGGUCUAAAGAUGUGUCCCGGUAUAUUUCCAGCAAAGAACAGAGCCUGGGAAAACCACCAAUUGACUCACACUGAGAGAAAGAAAAGAGUCAGUUCUGUGUGAAGUCUGGCUUCUAAUAGAUAAGACAUUCCUCUGCAAAUACACACACACACACACACACACAAAGGAGAUGAGUAAUUGAAGAAUCAGUUGGUUUGCAAGGCCCUAAAUGGAUGGACGAGGGAUAUGAGCUGUGCCGUGUGUGUGUGUGUGUGUGUGUGUGUGUGUGUGUGUGUGUGUGUGUGACAGUUUGCACUUCCUCUCUAAACCUUUGUGAUAGAUGAGGUUUGAGUGUGUUUUUCUGCUGCUCCACUGACUCACGAGAGCUUCACGCCCCAGUUACACACACGCAUACACCCCGUAAACUGCGUUUUAUUCUAGCAGUGAUCCUUAAACUGUUCUCCCCGUUGCAGGCAACCCCAGAAUUCUGUUUACUGAAUGACACAUCUGUAAAUGUUUCAGCAACAAAAUGGACUAAAUUCACUCUCACGGAGAAGUCCAAUUAUUAAAAAAAGGAAUGCUAGCUGACAGUCAUAGUAUUUGUGUUAGUAAUUGUGUUUGUUAUUUGCUAGAAAUGAUUUCAGGAUUGAAAAAGAAAAAAAGAAAAAACACACACACACAUUAAAAAAAAACACCACAUAGCUAACAGAACAUGAUUUUGGCUUACCUCAGGAAAAACCGUGAACUAGCAGCAGAAGUUGUUGGGUUCCUGAAUACAACUAAACUAUUUACUUUUGUUAGUUGCUAAUUGCUGUUUUCCACAAACAUCACUAGUGACAUAACCAACGCUAGUCGUAUUGUGUAUAGUUAGCCACUAGCAAGUUAGCUACCUCACCUAAGCUAGUUGUGAGGCUACAUUAGCUAGUUGUGAGGCUACAUAAGCUAGUUGUGAGGCUACAUUAGCUAGUUGUGAGGCUACAUUAGCGAGUUGUGCGGCUACAUAAGCUAGUUGUGAGGCUACAUUAGCUAGUUGUGAGGCUACAUUAGCUAGUUGUGCGGCUACAUAAGCUAGUUGUGAGGCUACAUUAGCUAGUUGUGAGGCUACAUUAGCUAGUUGUGAGGCUACAUAAGCUAGUUGUGAGGCUACAUUAGCUAGUUGUGCGGCUACAUUAGUUAGUUGUGAGGCUACAUUAGCGAGUUGUGAGGCUACAUAAGCUAGUUGUGAGGCUACAUUAGCUAGUUGUGAGGCUACAUAAGCUAGUUGUGAGGCUACAUUAGCUAGUUGUGAGGCUAUAUUAGCGAGUUGUGAGGCUACAUUAGCUAGUUGUGAGGCUACAUUAGCUAGUUGUGAGGCUACAUAAGCUAGUUGUGAGGCUACAUUAGCUAGUUGUGAGGCUACAUAAGCUAGUUGUGAGGCUACAUUAGUUAGUUGUGAGGCUACAUUAGCUAGUUGUGAGGCUACAUUAGCUAGUUGUGAGGCUACAUAAGCUAGUUGUGAGGCUACAUUAGUUAGUUGUGAGGCUACAUUAGCUAGUUGUGAGGCUAUAUUAGCUAGUUGUGAG
Ictalurus punctatus (channel catfish) is the source of this 3033-nucleotide long non-coding RNA. The record is from Ensembl. Lineage: Eukaryota; Metazoa; Chordata; Actinopteri; Siluriformes; Ictaluridae.